This is a long non-coding RNA of Alexandromys fortis (reed vole), 799 nucleotides long. RefSeq lists it as uncharacterized. The record is from RefSeq and is a predicted model, not a curated record. NCBI's taxonomy places the organism in Eukaryota, Metazoa, Chordata, Mammalia, Rodentia, Cricetidae. The transcript has 3 exons.
UGGAAACUUUUUAGAAGUUUAGGAAGUGAACUGUACGCUGAGUUCCGGUAUCUCUGCACCGAUAGGAAUGUCUGAGGAACUUAAACCUUAGACAGAGCUUCAAGUGUCCUCCCUCCACCCUGAAGUGAUGAGUAAAACAGUCACAUGGCUGUCACAGGACUGGACACUCCAAGGGAACACCUUGGACACAUCUUCAUGUUACAGUCUCUCUUUGCAGCCAAUGGAGACCACCACAGAGAAGCACAAUGGGACAGAACAGAGAGAUCAACAGAUUGAGGGAAGUAUGGCUCAAGUGAAUGCAACUACAUCACAGCUCCUGCAGCUGUGGCUCUGGAAACAUCAUGAAAGAGAAGGAGGAAAGACUGUAAGAGGUAGAGUACCAGGAAGUCUUCUGUGUAUACUCUCCUAUAAAUGGCUGCAUAAGUAGGACCACAACAAUGUGAUAUCAAUGGGCAUGGGAAUGUGGAAAGGGUAUAAGGGGGUCUCACUCCUAGACAAGGAACUACAGGUAACUAAUGACUUCUUGGAAAAGGAGAAUUGUACCAGAUGUGGGAAUACUUUUUGGUAUUCAAUGCAGAGGACCAUCUUUGAAAGUCCAUACACACUACCAACAAAAUCAGGCUCAAGCAGGUUAUAUAAUAUUUGUGCAUACACAUGCAUAAACAUACACAUGUGUAUGACAAUAAGAGUCAAAGAAAAAUUUACUAACUUCAGGGAGGUUAUGGGAUGAGUUUGAGUGAGAGUAAUUGGGAGAGCUGGAGGAAAGAAAAAGGGGUGAUGCGAUUAUAUUUUAUCUAUC